GACGAACGCUGGCGGCGUGCUUAACACAUGCAAGUCGAACGGUAAGGCCCUGCGUUUGUGGUGUGCUCGAGUGGCGCACGGGGGUGUAAAACGUGAGUGACCUGCCCUUUGCUGUGGGGUAACUUCAGGGAACUGGGGCUAAUAUAGGAUAUAAGAUCCUGUGGCAUGGGGGGUGUUGGUGAGUUUCGGCGGUUGGGGAUGGACUCGCGGCUUAUCAGCUUGUUGGUGGGGUAGUGGCUUACCAAGGCUUUGACGGGUAGCCGGCCUGAGAGGGUGACCGGCCACAUUGGGACUGAGGUACGGCCCAGACGCCUACGGGAGGCAGCAGUGGAGAAUAUUGCGCAAUGGGCCGAAGCCUGAUACAGCGACGCCGCGUGCGGGAUGACGGCCUUCGGGUUGUAAACCGCUUUCGCCUGUGACGAAGCGUGAGUGACGGUAAUGGGUAAAGAAGCACCGGCUAACUACGUG
This 468-nucleotide ribosomal RNA is filed under the name uncultured bacterium. RNAcentral describes it as "partial 16S ribosomal RNA". It matches the Rfam family "Bacterial small subunit ribosomal RNA", at positions 28 to 507 of the family's 1533-position model. The record is from RNAcentral.